CUACGGGGUGCACCAGUGGGGAAUAUUGGACAAUGGGCGAAAGCCUGAACCAGCAAUGCCGCGUGAGUGAUGAAGGCCUUCGGGUUGUAAAGCCCUGUCAGAGGGAACGAAAAAACUGCGUAACGAGCAGUCUUGACGGUACCCUCAAAGGAAGCACCGGCUAACUCUGUGCCAGCAGCCGCGGUAAUACAGAGGGUGCAAGCGUUGUUCGGAACUACUGGGCGUAAAGCGCAUGUAGGCGGCUUAUUAAGUCGGAUGUGAUAUCCCUUGGCUUAACCGAGGAAAUGCAUCCGAUACUGGUAAGCUUGAGUGUCGGAGGGGAUGGUAGAAUUCCUGGUGUAGAGGUGAAAUUCGUAGAUAUCAGGAGGAAUACCUGUGGCGAAGGCGGCCAUCUGGAAGACAACUGACGCUGAGAUGCGAAAGCGUGGAUAGCAAACAGGAUUAGAUACCCUUGUAGUC
RNAcentral lists this ribosomal RNA (459 nucleotides) under uncultured bacterium. RNAcentral's name for it is "partial 16S ribosomal RNA". It matches the Rfam family "Bacterial small subunit ribosomal RNA", at positions 339 to 795 of the family's 1533-position model. The record is from RNAcentral.